This 74-nucleotide transfer RNA is filed under the name Sphingobium sp. Its description in RNAcentral is "tRNA-Lys". The stretch from base 3 to 65 matches the Rfam family "tRNA", at positions 6 to 65 of the family's 71-position model. From Rfam's summary of the family: Transfer RNA (tRNA) molecules are approximately 80 nucleotides in length. The record is from RNAcentral. RNAcentral also lists the same sequence under 1 other name. Lineage: Bacteria; Pseudomonadati; Pseudomonadota; Alphaproteobacteria; Sphingomonadales; Sphingobiaceae.
GGCAUUGAAAAGAUUGGCAUUUCUACCGACUUUUAAUCAGUAGGUCGCUGGUUCGAACCCAGCUGGACUCACCA